This 429-nucleotide ribosomal RNA is filed under the name Actinomycetes bacterium. RNAcentral describes it as "Actinobacteria bacterium partial 16S ribosomal RNA". It matches the Rfam family "Bacterial small subunit ribosomal RNA", at positions 355 to 776 of the family's 1533-position model. The record is from RNAcentral. Lineage: Bacteria; Bacillati; Actinomycetota; Actinomycetes.
UAGGGAAUCUUCCGCAAUGGGCGAAAGCCUGACGGAGCAACGCCGCGUGAGUGAUGAAGGUCUUCGGAUCGUAAAACUCUGUUAUUAGGGAAGAACAACUGUGUAAGUACCUAUGCACGUUUUGCCGUUACCUAAUCAGAAAGCCACGCCUAACUACGUGCCAGCAGCCGCGGUAAUACGUAGGUGGCAAGCGUUAUCCGGAAUUAUUGGGCGUAAAGCGCGCGUAGGCGGUUUUUUAAGUCUGAUGUGAAAGCCCACGGCUCAACCGUGGAGGGUCAUUGGAAACUGGAAAACUUGAGUGCAGAAGAGGAAAGUGGAAUUCCAUGUGUAGCGGUGAAAUGCGCAGAGAUAGGGAGGAACACCAGUGGCGAAGGCGACUUUCUGGUCUGUAACUGACGCUGAUGUGCGAAAGCGUGGGGAUCAAACAGG